This 370-nucleotide ribosomal RNA is filed under the name uncultured cyanobacterium. RNAcentral describes it as "bacterial SSU rRNA". It matches the Rfam family "Bacterial small subunit ribosomal RNA", at positions 376 to 760 of the family's 1533-position model. The record is from RNAcentral. Lineage: Bacteria; Bacillati; Cyanobacteriota.
CGCAAGCCUGACGGAGCAAGACCGCGUGAGGGAGGAAGGCUCUUGGGUUGUAAACCUCUUUUAUCAGGGAAGAACACAAUGACGGUACCUGAUGAAUCAGCAUCGGCUAACUCCGUGCCAGCAGCCGCGGUAAUACGGAGGAUGCAAGCGUUAUCCGGAUUUAUUGGGCGUAAAGCGUCCGCAGGUGGUUUAACAAGUCUGCUGUUAAAGGUCAGAGCUUAACUCUGUCACGGCGGUGGAAACUGUUAGACUUGAGUAUGGUAGGGGUUGCGGGAAUUCCCAGUGUAGCGGUGAAAUGCGUAGAUAUUGGGAAGAACACCAGCGGCGAAGGCGCGCAACUGGGCCAUUACUGACACUCAUGGACGAAAGC